This 252-nucleotide ribosomal RNA is filed under the name uncultured bacterium. Its description in RNAcentral is "partial 16S ribosomal RNA". It matches the Rfam family "Bacterial small subunit ribosomal RNA", at positions 524 to 776 of the family's 1533-position model. The record is from RNAcentral.
UACGUAGGUGGCAAGCGUUGUCCGGAAUUAUUGGGCGUAAAGCGCGCGCAGGCGGUUAUGUAAGUCUGAUGUUAAAGCCCGGGGCUCAACCUCGGUUCGCAUUGGAAACUGCGUAACUUGAGUGCAGAAGAGGAAGGUGGUAUUCCACGUGUAGCGGUGAAAUGCGUAGAUAUGUGGAGGAACACCAGUGGCGAAGGCGACUUUCUGGUCUGUAACUGACGAUGAGGCGCGAAAGCGUGGGGAGCAAACAGG